This 82-nucleotide microRNA precursor is filed under the name Podarcis lilfordi (Lilford's wall lizard). Lineage: Eukaryota; Metazoa; Chordata; Lepidosauria; Squamata; Lacertidae. The record is from RNAcentral.
ACACACACACACACACGUAUAUUUAUAUUUAUAUUUAUAUAUAUGUAUGUCUGUGUGCAUAUCUAUGUGUGUGUGUGUGUGU